AAUAGUUUUAUGCCACAUCAGUAUUCUUAUCCUGAAUUUCAGGAUUUUAUCUUGAAAAAAAUCAAAUCCAAAUUAAAAUACUAAAAUUCAGGAUAAGAAUACUGAUGUGGCAUAAAACUAUU
This 122-nucleotide microRNA precursor is filed under the name Gossypium arboreum. Its description in RNAcentral is "MIR7504 microRNA precursor family". It matches the Rfam family "MIR7504 microRNA precursor family". The record is from Rfam by way of RNAcentral. Lineage: Eukaryota; Viridiplantae; Streptophyta; Magnoliopsida; Malvales; Malvaceae.